This is a long non-coding RNA of Manis pentadactyla (Chinese pangolin), 767 nucleotides long. RefSeq lists it as uncharacterized. Lineage: Eukaryota; Metazoa; Chordata; Mammalia; Pholidota; Manidae. The record is from RefSeq and is a predicted model, not a curated record. The transcript has 4 exons.
AGAGGACCCAGAGAUUAAGGCUUGAUUUCAACUCUAUGACAAAACAUGUUGCAAGGUGUGGUUCUCAGUAUGAUCCUGAUUGGAAAUAACAAUAGCUGCAAGAGACAGCUGGGAAACGUGAAUAUGAACUAGCUUUAUUGAGAUACAAUCUGAUGGAAUCCGGACCUGAGUACGGUCUUUCAAAUAAGCCCGCCCACCAUCUCAGAGGGACCUAGGUGUCAUCUUCCCUAGGCUACAAGCAUUCUCCAGAGGACAGAAGGAAGCUGUCUGUGGCACACAAAAUUGGGGGUUUGUCAGCCGCUUAAAUGGGACUAGGCUGGCUGUCGAUCUCGAAGUCUCAAGCGACAGGUUCCCCUGCGUCUCCCUCAGUGGAUCCCCUGUCUCCCUUGGAAGCCAAGAAUGUCACCUGAGUGGGGGCCGGGAUUCCCUUUCAGAGACCUCUCCUUGGAUGCAAGGGAUUGAAGAAAGCCGUGGGCAACUGCGAGAGUCUAGGCUGAGGCUACACUUCAGCGGCUUCUCAGACCCCGACAGCCCAACUGGGUAUCCGUGAGGAGUGUCUCUCUCUCUGUCUCUGACUUCUAGCCUGCUUCUUCAGGCAGCUUUGGCCUCAGUGUGGCAGGGGGUGUUCCUAACUCCCACCUAACUUCAUCAAUUUCAAGGAACCUGAUGCUCACCACCGCAAGAUACUUGAUCUGAAUACAACAGAGAAUUUAGAACCUAACUUUGAUGUUUUGCUUUGCAUAUAAGAAAGAUGUUCAAAGGUUUAA